This 465-nucleotide ribosomal RNA is filed under the name uncultured bacterium. Its description in RNAcentral is "partial 16S ribosomal RNA". It matches the Rfam family "Bacterial small subunit ribosomal RNA", at positions 28 to 507 of the family's 1533-position model. The record is from RNAcentral.
GACGAACGCUGGCGGCGUGCUUAACACAUGCAAGUCGUACGGUAAGGCCCUUUCGGGGGUACACGAGUGGCGAACGGGUGAGUAACACGUGAGUAACCUGCCCACAACUUUGGGAUAACGCUAGGAAACUGGUGCUAAUACUGGAUAUGUGCUCCUGCUGCAUGGUGGGGGUUGGAAAGCUCCGGCGGUUGUGGAUGGACUCGCGGCCUAUCAGCUUGUUGGUGGGGUAGUGGCCUACCAAGGCGGCGACGGGUAGCCGGCCUGAGAGGGUGACCGGCCACAUUGGGACUGAGAGACGGCCCAGCCUCCUACGGGAGGCAGCAGUGGGGAAUAUUGCACAAUGGGCGCAAGCCUGAUGCAGCAACGCCGCGUGCGGGAUGACGGCCUUCGGGUUGUAAACCGCUUUCAGCAGGGACGAAGCUUUUUGUGACGGUACCUGCAGAAGAAGCACCGGCUAACUACGUG